GACGAACGCUGGCGGCGUGCUUAACACAUGCAAGUCGAACGGAAAGGCCCUGCUUUUGUGGGGUGCUCGAGUGGCGAACGGGUGAGUAACACGUGAGUAACCUGCCCUUGACUCUGGGAUAACUUCAGGAAACUGGGGCUAAUACCGGACAGGAGCUCCUGCUGCAUGGUGGGGGUUGGAAAGUUUCGGCGGUUGGGGAUGGACUCGCGGCUUAUCAGCUUGUUGGUGGGGUAGUGGCUUACCAAGGCUUUGACGGGUAGCCGGCCUGAGAGGGUGACCGGCCAACUUGGGACUGAGAUACGGCCGAGACUCGUGCGGGAGGCAGCAGUGGGGGAUAUUGCACGAUGGGCGGAAGCCUGAUGCAGCAACGCCGCGUGCUGGAUGACGGCCUUCGUGUUGUAGACCGCUUUCGCCUGUGACGAAGCGUGAGUGACGGUAAUGGGUAAAGAAGCACCGGCUAACUACGUG
This 468-nucleotide ribosomal RNA is filed under the name uncultured bacterium. RNAcentral describes it as "partial 16S ribosomal RNA". It matches the Rfam family "Bacterial small subunit ribosomal RNA", at positions 28 to 507 of the family's 1533-position model. The record is from RNAcentral.